This 136-nucleotide unclassified non-coding RNA is filed under the name uncultured fungus. RNAcentral's name for it is "sequence contains ITS1, 5.8S rRNA gene". The record is from RNAcentral. Lineage: Eukaryota; Fungi.
AUGAAUUUCAAGGACGCUCUUUUUAGAGGUCCGACCAAAUCAUUUUCCUUCACCCUGUGCACAAACUAUUUUUUACACCUUUUUAAACACAUCAGUAUAAGAAUGCAAUAGUCUCUUGAAUGAGCAUAAACUAUUA